UACGGAAGAUGCGAGCGUUAUCCGGAUUUAUUGGGCGUAAAGCGUGUGUAGGCGGUUUAUUAAGUCUAAGAUCAAAGCCCGAGGCUUAACCUCGGUUCGUCUUAGAAACUGGUAGACUUGAGUGCAGUAGAGGCAAGUGGAAUUUCUAGUGUAGCGGUUAAAUGCGUAGAUAUUAGAAGGAACACCAGUGGCGAAGGCGGCUUGCUGGGCUGUUACUGACGCUGAGACACGAAAGCGUGGGGAGCAAAUA
This 250-nucleotide ribosomal RNA is filed under the name uncultured prokaryote. RNAcentral describes it as "partial 16S ribosomal RNA". It matches the Rfam family "Bacterial small subunit ribosomal RNA", at positions 524 to 774 of the family's 1533-position model. The record is from RNAcentral.